This is a long non-coding RNA of Prunus persica (peach), 471 nucleotides long. RefSeq lists it as uncharacterized. The transcript is spliced from 4 exons. NCBI's taxonomy places the organism in Eukaryota, Viridiplantae, Streptophyta, Magnoliopsida, Rosales, Rosaceae. The record is from RefSeq and is a predicted model, not a curated record.
CAGAAUUUUUAAACUCAGAUUUCUUCUUCCUCUCGCGAAUGUUUCGAACAGCCAUUUUCAGACAACCAUUUCUCCUCCGUCUAGCCACCAAAUCGAGUGCCACAACUUGCAAACUCUUCGCCUCUUUCUCCUCUUCCCAUAAAUACCCAUAUCCAGCCUUGAUUCCAAGCGAAUCAACCAGAAAAUCGAGCCAAAGUUGAGGCCGAAAACGGGCAGCUUUGAACCCAGAAAUUUUUGGGGUAUUUUCCAGCGGAUUCCAGUCGCCAUAGCUCAGGUUUUCAAGUGACAGAAAGCUUCGUUCGAGGGCUUUAGAGAUGGAAUUGAUCAUCGAGCCAAGGCACCUGGGGCCAGGAAGACUCGCAUGAGGGACCUUCAGGAGGUCCAGCUAGCUCGGACCAGGAGCAAUAGACGUGCACCAUAGCGCCACCACCGGGCAGAUUCCACACUCCGCUCCACUCUUCCUUUUUUAUA